Candidatus Burkholderia crenata is the source of this 142-nucleotide non-coding RNA. NCBI's taxonomy places the organism in Bacteria, Pseudomonadati, Pseudomonadota, Betaproteobacteria, Burkholderiales, Burkholderiaceae. The record is from Rfam.
CAGCGGGUGUAAGCCCCGCCCGGCAACCGCUCCAAGCCGGAAAGCAACCGGAGCAAUCGUGGAGGUAACGAAGCGGUUGAAGCCUUCGGUGAAGCGGGUCACGAAAUACGGUGACAGCACGAGUUUGCAGGCCGUAACGCGA